UUCGUAUGUGAGGGAAUCUUGCUGGGAGUGAAGGCAGUGCGAUAUGAGAGACACUUCCUGUUUUUAAAGGUAAACUUUAAGCUUCAUUCCCUUUAAAGCAGAGUUUUCGUGAGGUAAUCUUUCUUAUGCUGGGAAUGAAGGAAGUGCGUAUGAUCACUUAAUAUGAAAGACACGUUUUUAAAGGUGGAUCAUGAGUGAAGCUCUAUAGGUUGGCCAUUGACUUGAUAACAGUGGUUUAUGUUUAUUCAAUUUAUGAAUAAAUCUCUCGCCAACCAUUCACCUAUUUACUGACAAAACAGAUCCAAAUCUUGUAUGAUGAUGACUACUGCAAGGUGAUGGGAGUCUGUGGUAAUCAUAACCUGUGUCUCAAGAUCAACAUGACAAUAGCAGACCAUCUCUUAUCUUACUCUUAUCUGACUAAAUGUUCAACUUCAUUGCCACAAAACAAAGAACAUUGGAUGGAGUAUGUACUGUACAAUGAUCCAGCAAACAAAAUAAUAUGGACUUUUUUUGGCGAGAUUCUACAAACAUUGACACAAUCCUAUUGACUUUUAUAUUUACAUUAAUCUGUAUUAUGCCAUUUAUCUGUUUGUGCUAAAGUGCUUACAUCUGAAUGUAAUGUCAUAAUAUGUUAAUAUUCAGUAUUUAUUAUCAUUUGCAUGUUUUGAUGUCGCAUAUGUCAUGAUUUUAUAGAUUUCAUGUUAUUGUUGUCUAUUUAGAAUGAUUGUCUAUGCCAAAUUUUAUUGUUCAUUUAUUUAAUUUUGAAGCUAUCA
Misgurnus anguillicaudatus (oriental weatherfish) is the source of this 773-nucleotide non-coding RNA. The record is from RefSeq and is a predicted model, not a curated record. NCBI's taxonomy places the organism in Eukaryota, Metazoa, Chordata, Actinopteri, Cypriniformes, Cobitidae.